CACAUGGUGAGAAGGGUCAGCUUGUUAUCCGAUAGAGCUGACCCUCUUGCUUUGGUUCCGGGAUGAAGAAUCUGCCUGUUUCAACAAACCCCCAGUAACUGAUCACAAUCAAUGAUUGAUUACCAUCAGCAGAUGGUUGUUCUGGAAAAGAAAGAGAAAAGCAACGGAUGCUGAGGUGGGACAGCUUGUCAUGCCAUGGGAAACCCUGUAUUGCUUUGGUUUGGGGAAGACUCACCCAAUUCUUUAGUCUCUACCAUUAGAAAAGAAAGAGAAAAGUAACACAUGAUGAGCUGGGACAGCUUGUCAUCUCAUGGGAAACUCUGCAUUCCCGGGUACAGGGAAGAGGACUCACCCAAUGCUCCAAUUCGUUUCUCUGGAAAAGGAAGAGGAGAGCAAUGCGUGAUGAGAGGAGCAUCUCAUCCCACAGCUCACACAGACAGACCCUGAUGUUUUUAAUUUGGGGAGAGAGACUCACCCAGUGCUGCAAUGUAUUUUUCUGCAGUAGAAACAAAUAGGAAACGCAUGAUGAAAAGGGUCAGACGAUCAUCUCAUGGCUGAUCCCAUGGGAUGACCCCAAAUUCCUUCAUUGUAUGGAGGGAAACUUACUCAGCUCUGCAGCACGUAAACCUGGAAAGAAAAAGCAGAAACAGUAAAUGAUGAGAGGAAAAUCUCAUCCCACAGCUCAUACAGGAAGACCCCAUUUUUUUAAUUUGGGAGGGGUGACUCACCUAUAUUUGUCAAAUAGCUCUCUGGAAUAGAAAGACAAAAUCAGUGCAUGGUCAGAGGGGAUUUUUCAUCCCAUAUGCUGUCCCUUGGGAAGACCCCAGAUUUGCUCAGUUCAGUGACUGCGACUUACUCAGCUCUGAUUUCCGUUUCUCUGCAAAAAAAAGAGACAAAAAGCACUGCAUGUUGAGGUGGGACAUCUUGUCAUCCCAUGGAAAACCUCAAAUUCCUUUGCUCUGGGGAAGAAGACUCACCCACUGCUUCAGCUUGAUCCACUGGAAAUGGAAGAGAAAAGCAAUGUGUGAUGAGAGGAGCCUCUCAUCCAAGAGCUGACACAGGCAGAGCCCUUUGUUGUUAAUUUGGGAGGGAGCACUCACCCAGUUCUGCCAUGUGUAGCUCUGCAAAAGGAACCAAUAAGAAACGCAUGAUGAGAAGGGUCAGAUGAACAUCCCAUGGCCGAUCCCAAGGGAAGACCCCAAUCUCUUUGGUUUGGGGAGGAAGACUUACUCAGAUUAGGAGCACGUAUACCUGCAGAGGAAAAGCAGAAACAGUGAAUGAUGAGAGGAACAUCUCAUCCCACAGCUCACAGAGGGAGAGAGCAGUGAUUUCAAUUUGGGUGAGGAGACUCACCA
RNAcentral lists this long non-coding RNA (1355 nucleotides) under Gallus gallus (chicken). Lineage: Eukaryota; Metazoa; Chordata; Aves; Galliformes; Phasianidae. The record is from RNAcentral.